GUAAGUGUCUCCUUAGUGGGGCUGCUCCUCAUUUGGUUUUACCCCGGGACACUGGGCUGCAUCCUGCUGUGGUCAGUUCCGAGAAGCUGCGAUUUAAAACUGGAUGUAUGUAGCUUUAAGCAAGUCCUAGGCCAACGCUCAGUCCCAAGGAGCGUCAGGGUCCUCUCACCAGCGGCAGGUGGGGAGUGGUGGACAUUGGAUGCCUUGGUUUUCGCCGGUGACCUGCAGGCACUUGGGCUGCAUCAGUGAAGAAAACAAAGAUCCCUGUGUUGGAGGAGGUCAUCCAGAGGACGUGACUACUGGUUGACCCAAUAGUGAGACCAGGGCAGUCAGAGGCUCCGUACUUCUCCACUGUCCUUGGAAGGAUAUACUACUGGAAAACAUGUGGAAAAUAUUGCUACAUACAUACAAAGGAAGAAUUAUCAUGACAAAUUACUCAGUAUGGGAUGCUUGUUAUACAAAUUAGAUGAGAGCACAGAUGUUUCUCACGUCUCAGCUAACGCAUCUGGCCAUCCUCUCGCAACCUCUCACAUCCGGGUAUCCUCCCACAUCCGGGUAUCCUCCCACAUCCGGGUAUCCUCCCGCCUCCGCAUCCAGGGAUCCUCUUCCAGGUGCGUUAGGAGGUCUGUGCCCUCGUGCGAGUCUUUGGCUGUUCAGCCAUUCUUUAUGCACCCAACCUCUAGGCGUGGGACAGCACUCUCGCCUCAGUUCCUCCAGUGUCUCUUUCACGUCCUUUUCUUCCUCACUCUACCAACCAAACGUUCAUUCCCUUCAGGCUCUGGGUUAGGAAAAUAAAAUGGCCUGACUACAGAAAGGAAACUCCAAAAUUUAUGGGCUUGUGAUUGCAGUUCAACUAUUGUGUUUGGAGUGAAAUCCCUUUCUUUGAGCAGUUUUAACGGGGGUCAUCCAAAGCGAAGUGGGUAUACUUGAAUGCCACAGUAGUAUCUGGAAGAAGAAACACACUGUAUUUCCAAGAGUCUGUAGAAGGAAGAGUUUGAAAGUGUGAUGAAAUGAUAUCUUUACUUUUUCUUAUUUUAGAAUUCUCAGUCGGUGUGCAUAAUAUACUACCAUUUGUAAAAAGAAAAAAAUGUGUGAUGUAUAUACUUAUAUAUGCACAUAACACACAGGAAACUAUUAAGAGGGGUUGCCUUUGGUGAGGGGGCCUGGGAAUACAUAGGUGUGGAGAGAGACAUUUCUCACUGUAUAUCAGUAAUUCUCAACCAUUUUAGUCUUAGGAUUCCUUUAACUCUUAAAAAUUAUUGGAGUUACCAAACAGUUUUUGUUUAUGUCAGUAAUAUGUCUAUCAAUAUUGACUGUAUUAGAAAUUAAAACAGAGAUCUUAAAAAUACUUAUUUAUUAAUUCAUUAAAAAAUAACAAUAAUACACCCAUUAUAUAUUGACACAAAUAUAUUUUUCAAUGAGAAAACCCCUAUAUUUUCUAAAACAAAGUUCAGUGAGAAGAAUGGCAUUGUUUGACAUUUUUUGCAUAUCUCUUUAAUAUCUGGCUUAAUGGAGACAGCUGGAUUCUCAUAUUUGCCACUGUAUUCAGUCUGUUGUGAUGUCACAUGUCAUGGAGCCUCUGGAGAACACCACUGUACACUUACAAGAGAAUCAG
Equus caballus (horse) is the source of this 1615-nucleotide long non-coding RNA. NCBI's taxonomy places the organism in Eukaryota, Metazoa, Chordata, Mammalia, Perissodactyla, Equidae. The record is from Ensembl.